RNAcentral lists this ribosomal RNA (301 nucleotides) under uncultured bacterium. RNAcentral's name for it is "partial 16S ribosomal RNA". It matches the Rfam family "Bacterial small subunit ribosomal RNA", at positions 509 to 809 of the family's 1533-position model. The record is from RNAcentral.
CAGCCGCCACGGUAAUACGGAGGGGGCUAGCGUUGUUCGGAAUUACUGGGCGUAAAGCGCACGUAGGCGGCUUGGUAAGUUAGAGGUGAAAGCCCGGAGCUCAACUCCGGAAUUGCCUUUAAGACUGCCGAGCUAGUAGGUGAGAGAGGUAAGUGGAAUUCCGAGUGUAGAGGUGAAAUUCGUAGAUAUUCGGAAGAACACCAGUGGCGAAGGCGGCUUACUGGCUCAUUCUAGACGCUGAGGUGCGAAAGCGUGGGGAGCAAACAGGAUUAGAUACCCCAGUAGUCCCUGUCUCUUAUAA